Molecule: ribosomal RNA, 114 nt
Filed under: Cobetia sp. BMC6
Lineage: Bacteria; Pseudomonadati; Pseudomonadota; Gammaproteobacteria; Oceanospirillales; Halomonadaceae
Description: partial 16S ribosomal RNA
Rfam family: Bacterial small subunit ribosomal RNA
Source: RNAcentral
CCAGAAGUGGUUAGCCUAACCUUCGGGAGGGCGAUCACCACGGUGUGGUUCAUGACUGGGGUGAAGUCGUAACAAGGUAGCCCUAGGGGAACCUGGGGCUGGAUCACCUCCUUA